RNAcentral lists this ribosomal RNA (440 nucleotides) under uncultured bacterium. Its description in RNAcentral is "partial 16S ribosomal RNA". It matches the Rfam family "Bacterial small subunit ribosomal RNA", at positions 338 to 795 of the family's 1533-position model. The record is from RNAcentral.
CCUACGGGAGGCAGCAGUGGGGGAUAUUGCACAAUGGGGGGAACCCUGAUGCAGCGACGCCGCGUGGGUGAAGAAGCGCCUCGGCGCGUAAAGCCCUGUCAGCAGGGAAGAAAAUGACGGUACCUGAAGAAGAAGCCCCGGCAAACUACGUGCCAGCAGCCGCGGGAAUACGUAGGGGGCAAGCGUUAUCCGGAUUUACUGGGUGUAAAGGGGGCGCAGACGGCGAUGCAAGCCAGGAGUGAAAGCCCGGGGCCCAACCCCGGGACUGCUCUUGGAACUGCGUAGCUGGAGUGCAGGAGGGGCAGGCGGAAUUCCUGGUGUAGCGGUGAAAUGCGUAGAUAUCAGGAGGAACACCGGUGGCGAAGGCGGCCUGCUGGACUGCAACUGACGUUGAGGCCCGAAAGCGUGGGGAGCAAACAGGAUUAGAUACCCGUGUAGUC